This 1406-nucleotide ribosomal RNA is filed under the name uncultured bacterium. Its description in RNAcentral is "16S ribosomal RNA". It matches the Rfam family "Bacterial small subunit ribosomal RNA". The record is from RNAcentral.
AGAGUUUGAUCCUGGCUCAGGAUGAACGCUAGCGACAGGCUUAACACAUGCAAGUCGAGGGGCAUCGGGGCGAGGAGCAAUCCUUGCCGCCGGCGACCGGCGCACGGGUGAGUAACGCGUAUGCGACCUGCCCGUUGCAGGGGGAUAAUCGGGAGAAAUCCCGUCUAAUACCGCGUAAUGCCGCGGGGCUGCAUGGCCCUGCGGCCAAAGGAAGCGAUUCCGGCAACGGAUGGGCAUGCGUGACAUUAGCUAGUUGGCGGGGCAACGGCCCACCAAGGCGACGAUAUCUAGGGGUUCUGAGAGGAAGGUCCCCCACACUGGUACUGAGACACGGACCAGACUCCUACGGGAGGCAGCAGUGAGGAAUAUUGGUCAAUGGGCGCGAGCCUGAACCAGCCAAGUCGCGUGAGAGAUGACGGCCCUACGGGUUGUAAACCUCUUUUGUCGGGGAGCAAAUUCCGCCACGCGUGGCGGAGUCGAGAGUACCCGAAGAAAAAGCAUCGGCUAACUCCGUGCCAGCAGCCGCGGUAAUACGGAGGAUGCGAGCGUUAUCCGGAUUUAUUGGGUUUAAAGGGUGCGUAGGCGGACUGUCAAGUCAGCGGUAAAAUACGGGGGCUCAACCUCCGCCCGCCGUUGAAACUGACGGUCUUGAGUGGGCGAGAAGUAUGCGGAAUGCGUGGUGUAGCGGUGAAAUGCAUAGAUAUCACGCAGAACUCCGAUUGCGAAGGCAGCAUACCGGCGCCCAACUGACGCUGAAGCACGAAAGCGUGGGUAUCGAACAGGAUUAGAUACCCUGGUAGUCCACGCAGUAAACGAUGAAUACUAGCUGUCCGGGGCGAAUGAGCUCUGGGUGGCACAGCGAAAGCGUUAAGUAUUCCACCUGGGGAGUACGCCGGCAACGGUGAAACUCAAAGGAAUUGACGGGGGCCCGCACAAGCGGAGGAACAUGUGGUUUAAUUCGAUGAUACGCGAGGAACCUUACCCGGGCUCAAACGGGGAGUGACUCAGGCAGAGACGCCUGUUUCCCACGGGACACUCCCCGAGGUGCUGCAUGGUUGUCGUCAGCUCGUGCCGUGAGGUGUCGGCUUAAGUGCCAUAACGAGCGCAACCCCCGCGUGCAGUUGCUAACAGAUAACGCUGAGGACUCUGCACGGACUGCCGGCGCAAGCCGCGAGGAAGGCGGGGAUGACGUCAAAUCAGCACGGCCCUUACGUCCGGGGCGACACACGUGUUACAAUGGGUGGUACAGCGGGAAGCCAGGCGGCGACGCCGAGCGGAACCCGAAAUCCACUCUCAGUUCGGAUCGGAGUCUGCAACCCGACUCCGUGAAGCUGGAUUCGCUAGUAAUCGCGCAUCAGCCAUGGCGCGGUGAAUACGUUCCCGGGCCUUGCACUCACCGCCCGUCA